This 253-nucleotide ribosomal RNA is filed under the name uncultured bacterium. Its description in RNAcentral is "partial 16S ribosomal RNA". It matches the Rfam family "Bacterial small subunit ribosomal RNA", at positions 524 to 776 of the family's 1533-position model. The record is from RNAcentral.
UACGUAGGGUGCGAGCGUUGUCCGGAAUUAUUGGGCGUAAAGAGCUCGUAGGUGGCGGGUCACGUCGGGUGUGAAAGCCCGGGGCUUAACUCCGGGUCUGCAUUCGAUACGGGUCUGCUGGGGUCCGGCAGGGGAGACUGGAAUUCCUGGUGUAGCGGUGAAAUGCGCAGAUAUCAGGAGGAACGCCGGUGGCGAAGGCGGUUCUCUGGGCAUGUCCUGACGCUGAGGAGCGAAAGUGUGGGGAGCGAACAGG